AAGCCUUGUCCAUUUGUAGGCAU
This 23-nucleotide small nuclear RNA is filed under the name Arabidopsis thaliana (thale cress). RNAcentral's name for it is "snRNA_10960". Lineage: Eukaryota; Viridiplantae; Streptophyta; Magnoliopsida; Brassicales; Brassicaceae. The record is from RNAcentral.